GAUGAACGCUGGCGGCGUGCCUAAUACAUGCAAGUCGAGCGAACGGACGAGAAGCUUGCUUCUCUGAUGUUAGCGGCGGACGGGUGAGUAACACGUGGAUAACCUAUCUAUAAGACUGGGAUAACUUCGGGAAACCGGAGCUAAUACCGGAUAAUAUUUUGAACCGCUUGGUUCAAAAGUGAAAGACGGUUUUGCUGUCACUUAUAGAUGGAUCCGCGCUGCAUUAGCUAGUUGGUAAGGUAACGGCUUACCAAGGCAACGAUGCAUAGCCGACCUGAGAGGGUGAUCGGCCACACUGGAACUGAGACACGGUCCAGACUCCUACGGGAGGCAGCAGUAGGGAAUCUUCCGCAAUGGGCGAAAGCCUGACGGAGCAACGCCGCGUGAGUGAUGAAGGUCUUCGGAUCGUAAAACUCUGUUAUUAGGGAAGAACAAAUGUGUAAGUAACUGUGCACAUCUUGACGGUACCUAAUCAGAAAGCCACGGCUAACUACGUG
Molecule: ribosomal RNA, 497 nt
Filed under: uncultured bacterium
Lineage: Bacteria
Description: partial 16S ribosomal RNA
Rfam family: Bacterial small subunit ribosomal RNA
Source: RNAcentral